CGCGGCCUAUCAGCUUGUUGGGGGGGUAAUGGCCCACCAAGGCGACGACGGGUAGCUGGUCUGAGAGGAUGGCCAGCCACAUUGGGACUGAGAGACGGCCCAGACUCCUACGGGAGGCAGCAGUGGGGAAUCUUGCGCAAUGGUCUAACGACUGACGCAGCGACGCCGCGUGUGGGAGGACGCCUUUCGGGGUGUAAACCACUGUUGCCCGGGACGAACAGCCCUUUUCGAGGGGUCUGACGGUACCGGGUGAGGAAGCACCGGCUAACUCCGUGCCAGCAGCCGCGGUAAUACGGAGGGUGCAAGCGUUGUCCGGAAUCACUGGGCGUAAAGGGCGCGUAGGCGGCUCAUAAAGGCUGUGGUGAAAGUUCGGGGCUCAACCCCGAAUCGGCCGUGGCGACUUGUGGGCUGGAGCACUGUAGAGGCGGGUGGAAUUCCGGGUGUAGCGGUGGAAUGCGUAGAGAUCCGGAAGAACACCAGUGGCGAAGGCGGUCUGCUGGGGUAAUGCUGACACUGAUGCGCGACAGCGUGGGGAGCAAACAGGAUUAGAUACCCUGGUAGUCCACGCCGUAAACGAUGGGCACUAGAUGCUUGGGGGAGCGACCCCCUGAGUGUCGUCGCUAACGCAUUAAGUGCCCCGCCUGGGAGUACGGA
RNAcentral lists this ribosomal RNA (654 nucleotides) under uncultured bacterium. Its description in RNAcentral is "bacterial SSU rRNA". It matches the Rfam family "Bacterial small subunit ribosomal RNA", at positions 232 to 886 of the family's 1533-position model. The record is from RNAcentral.